GAUGAAGAACGUAGCGAAAUGCGAUAAGUAAUGUGAAUUGCAGAAUUCAGUGAAUCAUCGAAUCUUUGAACGCACCUUGCGCCCGCCAGUAUUCUGGCGGGCAUGCCUGUUCGAGCGUCAUUUCAACCAUCAAGCCCCGGGCCUGUGUUGGGGAUCUGCGGCUGCCCGCAGGCCCUGAAAACCAGUGGCGGGCUCGCUGUCACUCCGAGCGUAGUAGCACUCGUAUCUCGCUCAGGGCGUGCCGCGGGCUCCGGCCGUUAAACCGCCUCUUUAGCACCCAAAGGUUGACCUCGGAUCAGGUAGGAGGACCCGCUGAACUUAAGCAUAUCAUAAGCGGAGGA
RNAcentral lists this unclassified non-coding RNA (341 nucleotides) under soil metagenome. RNAcentral describes it as "partial contains 5.8S ribosomal RNA, internal transcribed spacer 2, and large subunit ribosomal RNA". The stretch from base 1 to 120 matches the Rfam family "5.8S ribosomal RNA", at positions 35 to 154 of the family's 154-position model. The record is from RNAcentral.